GAUGAAGAACGUAGCGAAAUGCGAUAAUUAAUGUGAAUUGCAGAAUUCCGUGAAUCAUCGAGUCUUUGAACGCACAUUGCGCCUCAUGGCAUUCCGUGAGGCAUGCCCAUCUCAGCGUUAGAAAAUAUUCUCAAAUUUUAGUUUUGUGCUAAAAUUUGGAUCAUGUCAAGGAAGCUAUUACUAUUAUUGUGAUCGCUCUUUGGAAAUUGAUAGGUCUUUGAGUUGCUACUCAUAGAACGUGAUGAAUCUUUCUUCGUGCUAUUGUAAUUCACUCUGGUAGUCCUAAAAGUUGUAUGCCUGUGGCAUAUCUUGUAAUUUGACCUGAGAUUGGGUAGGGAUACCCGCUGAACUUAAGCAUAUCAAUAAGCGGAGGA
RNAcentral lists this unclassified non-coding RNA (374 nucleotides) under soil metagenome. RNAcentral describes it as "partial contains internal transcribed spacer 2 and large subunit ribosomal RNA". The stretch from base 1 to 120 matches the Rfam family "5.8S ribosomal RNA", at positions 35 to 154 of the family's 154-position model. The record is from RNAcentral.